GACGAACGCUGGCGGCGUGCCUAAUACAUGCAAGUCGAACGAACUCUGGUAAUGAUUGGUGCUUGCAUCAUGAAUUACAUUUGAGUGAGUGGCGAACUGGUGAGUAACACGUGGGAAACCUGCCCAGAAGCGGGGGAUAACACCUGGAAACAGAUGCUAAUACCGCAUAACAACUUGGACCGCAUGGUCCGAGUUUGAAAGAUGGCUUCGGCUGUCACUUUUGGAUGUCCCCGCGGCGUAUUAGCUAGAUGGUGAGGUAACGGCUCACCAUGGCAAUGAUACGUAGCCGACCUGAGAGGGUAAUCGGCCACAUUGGGACUGAGACACGGCCCAAACUCCUACGGGAGGCAGCAGUAGGGAAUCUUCCACAAUGGACGAAAGUCUGAUGGAGCAACGCCGCGUGAGUGAAGAAGGGUUUCGGCUCGUAAAACUCUGUUGUUAAAGAAGAACAUAUCUGAGAGUAACUGUUCAGGUAUUGACGGUAUUUAACCAGAAAGCCACGGCUAACUACGUGCCAGCAGCCGCCGUAA
This 530-nucleotide ribosomal RNA is filed under the name uncultured bacterium. RNAcentral describes it as "partial 16S ribosomal RNA". It matches the Rfam family "Bacterial small subunit ribosomal RNA", at positions 28 to 523 of the family's 1533-position model. The record is from RNAcentral.